GCAGCAGGCCGGUUUGUCGUCGCAAAUUCAACUCUGAUAGCUAUUGGAAUUGGAUUUUGAGGAGGAAAGUCCGGGCAACACAGAGCGCCAUAUUUCCUAACGGGAAGCUGUUCGCGAGGGCAGAGUAGCGUAACAGAAAAUAACCGUCCCGUUUAUAGGGACAAGGGUGAAAAGGUAAGGUAAGAGCUUACCGGAUGCCGUGGCAACACGGUGUGCCGUACGCCUUAUGGGUUGUAAGACCAUGUAUAUCGGCAAUUAAGGAUUGCUCGUCCAAUGCCGAGGGGUAGGUCGCUAAAGAGCGGUGGUAACAUCGUUUCGUAGAUAAAUGACAAACAUUUUCGAUUCGUCGAAAACACAGAACCCGGCUUACAGGCCGGCUGCUUUU
RNAcentral lists this RNase P RNA (385 nucleotides) under Bacteroidia bacterium. RNAcentral's name for it is "RNase P RNA component class A". It matches the Rfam family "Bacterial RNase P class A". Rfam says of the family: Ribonuclease P (RNase P) is a ubiquitous endoribonuclease, found in archaea, bacteria and eukarya as well as chloroplasts and mitochondria. Its best characterised activity is the generation of mature 5'-ends of tRNAs by cleaving the 5'-leader elements of precursor-tRNAs. The record is from RNAcentral. Lineage: Bacteria; Pseudomonadati; Bacteroidota; Bacteroidia.